UUAUUUUGGUUGCAAAUUGCAACCACUUAUUUUCGGUCUCUAAAUUUGGUGACUAAAAUGUUAUUUUUUUGUAAUGUCAAGUGAAUCCCUGUCGAGAGCAUGUUAAAGAAAUCGCUCGGCCAAGGUCGAUUCACCCAAAUGAAUCCCUGCCAAGAGCACGUUAAAAGAAAACCACUCGGUCAAGGUCGAUUCACCCAUGAAUCCCUUUCAAGAGUGUGUCAAAAAAACCUCUCGGUCAAGGAAGAAUUCACUUACGUGAAUCCCUAUCGAGAGACUGUCAAAGAAAACCUCUCAGCCAAGGUCAAUUCACCCAAAUGAAUCCAUGCCGAGAGCGCGUUACAGAAACCUCUCGGCCAAGGUCGAUUCACCCGUGAAUCCCUGCCGAGAGCACGUCAAAGAACCCUCUCGGCGUAGGUAGAAAUUCACCUAUGUGAAUCCUUGCCGAGAGUCGGAUAAGAAACCUCUUGGCGAAGGUAGAACUCACCUACGUGAAUCCCUGCCGAUAGUUCGUAAGAGAAAACCUCUCGGAGAAGGUAGAAUUCACUUGUGACCGGGAUUCCGAUAAGAAAACCUCCUGGCAAAGGUAGAAUUCACCUAUGUGAAUCCCUGCCGAGAGUCCGAUAAGAAACCUCUCGGAGAAGCUAGAAUUCACCUGUGUAUCCCUACCAGGUCCGUAAGAGAAAACCUCUUGGCAAAGGUAGAAUUCAUAUAUGUGAAUCCAUGCCGAGAGUCCGAUAAGAAAACCUUUUGGCAAAGGUAGAAUUCACUGAAUCCCUACUGAGAGUCCGAUAAGAAACCUCUCGGAGAAGGUAGAAUUCACCUGUGAAUCCCUGCCAAGAGUCUGAUAAGAAACCUCUUGGCGAAGGUAGAAUUCACCUACGUGAAUCCCUGUCGAGAGUCCGUAAAAGAAAACCUCUUGGAAAAGGUAGAAUUCACCUCCGUGAAUCCCUGCCGAGAGUCCGAUAAGAAAUCUCUCAGAGAAGGUAGAAUUCAUAUAUGUGAAUCCAUGACGAGAGUUCGAUAAGAAAAUAUCUUAGCGAAGGUAGAAUUCACCUAUGUGAAUCCCUGCCGAGAGUUUGAUAAGAAACCUCUUGACGAAGGUAGAAUUGAUAUAAACCCACUAACAUGAUAGGAUAUGAUAUGAACAUGUUAUGGAUUCAAUAAGAGUUGGAAUAUGAUUAGGCACUUUUUAAGAAUUUGAUCAAUGUUCUUAAACAUUCAAGAACUCACCAAAACACAAGUAACCAAGCCAAACUCACAUAGAAACCCAUUUUUGGACAUAUGAACCGUUUGACACAAGGAAGAACACAAAUGCACUGAUUAAAAGUCCAAGAAACACAAUCAUAACCACAAGAACAGCAAACCAAAUGAAACUACCGAAUAUAAACACAAGACAAACAAGUUCUACCGAUUGAAAUAACAAGAAACAACAAAAACAUGUUUUAGAGUUUGUUUUGGAAUGGAAAUGGAAGAAGAAGAUGAAAAGGACAAGGAAACUUAUGUGGUUGGAGCUCUUGGAAAUGUGCACGCCACUUGAAGGAUGGUUGGCUUCAAGAUGAGUGUUGUUGCCGCCACUUGAGAGACCAAGAAUUCACUCAAGAUAAGACUAGAAGAGAAGAAAACACAAGUCUUUCUCAAUUCACUCACCAAUUUGGUAGAGGUUCAUUAUUCACAAAAUCAAUCCUAUUAUUUUAAAGACCUAAGCCUUCCUUUUAUAAUGAGGAGGACUAGUCACAAGUAAAAGGGAAGCUUACAAGAGAAGCUUUGAAAUGUGACCUUCUAACUCUUCCUAUUUUAGUGCCUAAAGGAGAGUGAAGAGGCACCUUUCUAGAUCUUUCCUAAAAACUAAUGCCUAAAUGUGCAAUACAAAGGAGGUGUCUUAGGUGUCCAUCUUUAGCACCUUCCUAAACACUACUCUAUAUGUUUUACAAUUUUAUACAAAAGAAACUAUAAAAAGAGAAAACAUUUGAAGCCUACUACCUAACUCCUUAGCUUUGCUCCUUGUAAUCCUUUGAGGUAUAAAGGAUGAUGAGCUAAUGUGUCUUUGAGCAUCUUGAACUUCAACCUCAUUCUCUUCUUCUUCUUGAUCUCCAUCAAGAAUUCACCUACGUGAAUCCCUGUCGAGAGUCCGAUAAGAAACCUCUCGACAAGGUAGAAUUCACUUACGUGAAUACCUGCUGAGAGUCCGUAAAAGUAAACCUCUUGCCCAAGGUAGAAUUCACUUAUGUAAAUCCCUGGCGAGAGUUCGAUAAGAAACCUCUCAGAGAAGGUAGAAUUCACCUAUGUGAAUCCCUGCCGAGAGUCCGAUAAGAAACCUCUUGGCGAAGGUAGAAUUCACCUACGUGAAUCCCUG
This 2353-nucleotide long non-coding RNA is filed under the name Phaseolus vulgaris (common bean). RNAcentral's name for it is "long non-coding RNA (PVUL_LNC000708)". The record is from RNAcentral. Lineage: Eukaryota; Viridiplantae; Streptophyta; Magnoliopsida; Fabales; Fabaceae.